RNAcentral lists this ribosomal RNA (253 nucleotides) under uncultured bacterium. RNAcentral describes it as "partial 16S ribosomal RNA". It matches the Rfam family "Bacterial small subunit ribosomal RNA", at positions 524 to 776 of the family's 1533-position model. The record is from RNAcentral.
UACGGGGGGGGCAAGCGUUGUUCGGAAUUACUGGGCGUAAAGGGCUCGUAGGCGGCCAACUAAGUCAGACGUGAAAGCCCCCGGCUCAACUGGGGAGGGUCACGCGAUACUGAUCGACUCGAAGGCAGGAGAGGGUAGUGGAAUUCCCGGUGUAGUGGUGAAAUGCGUAGAUAUCGGGAGGAACACCAGUGGCGAAGGCGACUACCUGGCCUGUUCUUGACGCUGAGGCGCGAAAGCUAGGGGAGCAAACGGG